This 465-nucleotide ribosomal RNA is filed under the name uncultured bacterium. RNAcentral's name for it is "partial 16S ribosomal RNA". It matches the Rfam family "Bacterial small subunit ribosomal RNA", at positions 28 to 507 of the family's 1533-position model. The record is from RNAcentral.
GACGAACGCUGGCGGCGUGCUUAACACAUGCAAGUCGAACGGAAAGGCCCUGCUUGCAGGGUACUCGAGUGGCGAACGGGUGAGUAACACGUGGGUGAUCUGCCCUGCACUUCGGGAUAAGCCUGGGAAACUGGGUCUAAUACCGGAUAGGAGCCAUUUUUAGUGUGAUGGUUGGAAAGUUUUUUCGGUGUAGGAUGAGCUCGCGGCCUAUCAGCUUGUUGGUGGGGUAAUGGCCUACCAAGGCGGCGACGGGUAGCCGGCCUGAGAGGGUGGACGGCCACAUUGGGACUGAGAGACGGCCCAGACUCCUACGGGAGGCAGCAGGGGGGAAUAUUGCACAAUGGGCGCAAGCCGGAUGCAGCGACGCCGCGUGGGGGAUGACGGCCUUCGGGUUGUAAACUCCUUUCGCUAGGGACGAAGCUUUUUGUGACGGUACCUAGAUAAGAAGCACCGGCUAACUACGUG